This is an RNA transcript of Setaria italica (foxtail millet), 4703 nucleotides long. It is a transcript of the gene named putative disease resistance protein At3g14460, with no coding region annotated. Lineage: Eukaryota; Viridiplantae; Streptophyta; Magnoliopsida; Poales; Poaceae. The record is from RefSeq and is a predicted model, not a curated record. The transcript is spliced from 3 exons.
CUUGCGUCGCCCGUCAGCAUAGUGGCCACUGUGCUAGCAGACGCUUGCCCACCGGCCUGAUGAUUCUUUGUGCUGGCGGGUGCCCCGCCAGCACGCUAAUUUCCUUGUACCAUCAAAAAUCGAUUGGUGUAGUGUCUGUGCGUUCCUGGUCCCGUGCUUGCUCGUCGUAGAGCGCGUCCUCGGAUUCAUCCUCAUCCUCCCCUUCCUCCUCUUCCAUCCUCCGCACCUUCCCACCGGCAGCGACAUCCGCCUGCUCCUCCGGCCCCGGCGCCUCCACGUCAGCAGCGGUAUCCGCCUGCUCCUUAGACUCCGGCGGGGGCGAGGGAUGCGCCCCCUCCCCGGCGGCCUCGGUGUCUUGCUCGACGGGGGCCGUCGGCGAGGGGCGUUUUGCCUUUUCAGUAUUCUGUCAUCCAGAAAGAAAAAAAGAAGCGGAUAGUAGCACGGAGAGAUGGCUCAUGAAAAGCUCAUGGUGACGAUGGCGUUGGCCAGCCUACGAUGGGUGGCAUCGCCAAUUGCCAAUAAGCUCCUCGCCGACGCCUCAACCUACCUUGGCAUGGACAUGUCGCGUGAGCUCCAAGAACUGGAGAGCACCAUCCUGCCCCAGUUCGAGCUGGUGAUCGAGGCGGCGGAGAAGAGCCCUCACAGGGGCAAGCUGGAGAAAUGGCUCCAGGACCUCAAAGCGGCCUUCUACAACGCCGAGGACGUGCUGGAUGAGCACGAGUACAACAACCUCAAGCGCAACGCGAAGCAGAGCAAGUGGGCUGCCAUGGCCUGCGGCGGCUCAUGGCCGCCGGGCAGGCUUGCCAACUUGCACCCAGGGAACAGAAGGCUUCUUCGUCAGGUCAAUGAGCUGAAGGACAUCCUGGUGAAGGCCAAGAGCUUCCGCCAGCAGCUUGGCGUCUUGCCGGCUGUGGGAGAUAGUUCGCAGUCACAGGGAACUGCAACUGCAACAACAUCAUUUCCCACUUCCAAGGUGUUGGGCCGCGACACGGAGCGCGAUCGCAUAAUACAAUUUCUUUUAAAUGAUGAGGCUUCUUCUGGGUCUGGUUCAGCAAGGAUCUCAAGUUUGGCCAUUGUUGGGCUUGGAGGCAUGGGUAAAUCCACCUUGGCACAAUAUGUUUACAAUGACAAGAGGGUAGAGGAAUACUUUGGUAAAAGGAUGUGGGUUUGCAUCUCACGCAAACUCGAUGUCCGUCGCCACACACGGGAGAUUAUCGAGUCCGCAGAAAAGGGGGAGUGCCCAAUCGUGGAUAACAUUGAUACUCUCCAGUACAAGUUAAGGGACAUUCUGCAAAAAUCAGAGAGAUUCCUGCUUGUAUUGGAUGAUGUGUGGUUUGAUGAAUCCAAUGUGGAAAGGGACUGGGAGCAACUUCUAGCUCCCCUAGCUUCUAAGCAGAGGGGAAGCAAAAUUCUUGUGACUUCUCGGCGCAAUGUAUUUCCAGCUGCUCUUUGCUGCCACGAGGUGUUUGAUUUACAAGACAUGGAAGAUUCUGCAUUCUUGACACUCCUCAGAGAACAUGCCUUCUCUGGAGCUGAAAUCAGAGACGCGCAGUUGCGUAUGAACCUCGAAGAGAUUGCAAAGAAGAUAGCUAGAAGGCUUGGACAAUCUCCCUUGGCAGCAAAAACUGUGGGUUCACAGUUGAGUAGGAAAAAGGAUGUUACUACAUGGACAGCGGCUCUAAGGAGUGACAACUUAAGUGAGCCUAUGAGAGCUCUGCUGUGGAGUUACGAGAAGUUAGAUCCUCGUCUGCAGAGGUGCUUUCUGUAUUGCAGUUUAUUUCCAAAAGGGCACAAGUAUAAUGAUCGGGAGUUGGUUCACCUCUGGACAGCAGAGGGUUUUAUCGAUUUGAGUAGCCAGAGCAGAAGAAUGAAAGAUAUCGGCAGCAAUUACCUGAAUGAGUUGAUCGCUUGUUCAUUCUUGCAACCAGGUUCUGAUAGAUUUGGUUUUGGAUGUUAUAUCAUGCAUGACCUCUUACAUGAUUUGGCAGAAAAACUCUCCAGAGAUGAUUGCUUCAGAUUAGAAGAUGAUGAUAUGGCAGAAAUACCCUGCACCGUUCGGCAUCUCUCAGUCCAUGUUAAGAGCAUGAAGCAGCAUAAGCAAAGUAUCUGCAAGCUACGCCAUCUGCGCACUGUUAUCUGUAUUGGUCGUCUGGUGGAUGAUGCAGAUGAUGUUUUCCAUCAGGUACUGCAGAAUCUGAAGAGGCUACGUGUUCUCUAUAUGUGCUUUUACAACAAAGAAAAAUUACCUGAAUCUGUUGGUGAGUUGAAGCACCUUCGGUAUUUGAACGUCAUUCAAACCACAAUAUCAGAAUUUCCUGCAUCUUUGUGCACUCUUUACCACUUGCAGAUCCUUCUGUUCAGUUACAGAGUUCAGAGUUUGCCUAAGAAACUAUGCAAUUUAAGUAAGUUACUAAGUUUUGAACUAUAUCAUGAUGGAGAAUUCUACGUGAAGUUCCCUUUUGCAGAGCUGCCUCAAAUUCCUUACAUAGGCAAGCUAACUUCGCUUCAAAAUCUUGAUGAAUUCCGUGUGCAAAAGCAGAAAGGAUAUGAGCCGCGACAGCUGAGGGACAUGAAUGGGCUUGGUGGCAGGUUAUCUAUUACACAUCUCGAGAAUGUCACUAGAAAGGAUGAAGCUGCAGAGAUGAUGCUGCAUAAGAAAAGGUAUCUUAAACAUUUGGAUCUUAUCUGGAGCAGUGAGAGUGACUCGCAUGCUGAGGAUAGUUUACAUCUGGACAUUCUAGAAGGUCUGAGGCCACCGGCUCAGUUGGAGGGCCUUGCAAUCGAGGGUUACAAAUCUCACAGAUACCCAAGCUGGUUACUAGAGGGUUCAUAUUUUGACAAUUUGGACUUCUUUCGACUUCAUGAUUGCACUGCGUUAGAAGGUCUACCACUCAACACCGAGGUCUUUAGGCAUUGCUCCAGACUGGUGAUCUCGGACGUACCAAACCUGAAGACAUUACCUCGUCUGCCAGAAGGCAUUACAUAUGUAUCAAUUAAAGGAUGCCCGCUGCUUAUGUUUAUCUCCAGCAACGAGAUGAGAGAACAUGAUAAGAGAGAAAAGAUUGUGAUGCCAGAGCAAUUGGUGUCUCAGCUUUGUUUAAUCUGGGAGUUGGAUUCAGGAUCAUAUCCAGUGAUUAAGAGGGACCUUCAUGAAGAACAUUCAUUUUUGAAGCAACUGACGCCAUUGGUGGAUGCUGAUAUAUCCCAACAUCUUCAGACCAUCAGCAGGACCCUUGAACAAGAAAAAGAUGAAGAAUAUGAUAAAGAAACAAUCAUCAAGGCAUGGUUAUGUUGCCACGAGCAGAGAAUAGAACUCUUGUACGGGACUAAUAUUGGGCAACAGUUGCUUCUGCCAUCAACUCUGAAUCACCUGUGUCUUUCUUCAUGCAGUAUUACAAAUGGCGCUUUAGGAGUUUGCCUAGGCAGCCUCACUUUACUAAGAAGACUGUCACUAACAAGGAUAAUGACUUUAACUGCACUUCCAUCAGAAGAGGUCUUCCAACAUUUGACAGCACUUGACGACUUGCGGAUUGAUUCUUGCUGGUGUCUCAGAUCAUUAGGGGGAUUGCGAGCGGCUACCUUUGUUACCGAAGUUUCUAUUGAGUGCUGCCCGUCCUUAGAGCUGACAUGCGGAGCAGAAUCUAUGCCGUUGUCUCUUGAGACGCUUAGCAUAGAUGGCUGUGUGCUUGCAGCUGAUUUCUUAAGCAAUGGAUUGACACAUCUGAAACAUCUGCACAUGUAUAGGUGUAGAAGCUCUGCAUCCUUGUCAAUUGGCCAUCUAACCUCCCUCGAAUCAUUGCAGUUACAUAAUGUUCCGGAUUUAUGCAUGCUUGAAGGAUUGUCUUCGCUGCAACUUCAGGAUGUAGGGUUGGUAGAUGUCCCGAAGCUGUCUGCGGGAUCCAUCUCGCAGUGCUGUGUCCAGAAAUCACUCUGUGUUAGCAGAUCUGAUAUCUUCAACCACUUGCUCUCAGCUGAAGGCUGUACAGGUCCAGAGCAGGUCCAAAUCCAAAGUUGCAACGAGACAUCUAUUUUCUUUGAGGCAUCUGCAAAUUUUACGUCUGUCAAGGAGCUGGUAAUUUCUGAAUGCAGAAUUCAGUCACUGCCAAAAAAUAUGAAGGACCUCUCCUGUAUGGAGAAGCUUGAAAUUGCGGAGUGCCCAAACAUAUCAUCCUUACCGGAUCUGCCAAGUUCCCUCAAGCAAAUAACCAUAUACAAUUGUAAACUCUUGUCGAAGAACUGCCGAGAACCUGACGGAAUAAGCUGGCCAAAGAUCGCCCAUAUCCCUUGGAGGUACAUCAAUUGAAUUGCGCUUCGGAUCCCUGAGGAGAAACAAACAAGGUGAAGCUUCUACUGGUACUGGAGAAGAUGGAGCAUUAUACGCUUGUGACAGCUCAACCGCGAACUGUUUCAUGCCCGUGGCCCAUUUCAACUUCUGUUCUGAUACCGACACAUUGCGCCUCGACUGGUUGCUCCCUUCUACUGCCUCAGCUUCUGCUGCUGUGUGUUGUAAAAUAAACUGCCAAGCCAAUAUGGAAAUGGAAAUGCUUGUUGUACCAUUGAAACCUGUAAAUACUAUGGCUAGCAUGUAAACUAUGGUAUUGUACCUGUAAAAAGAACAUGUAAAUGUUUGUUCCAUUAAUUUGGUUGCUUUAUACUAUCUGUAAAAACAAAUGGGAUUGGUUAUGCAAAAUUCCUUUUUUUUA